GAAUUGUGGCUCAGUGGUAGAUCGCUCGCCUAGCACGUGCGAGGCGCUGGGUUCAAUCCUCCGCAACA
This 68-nucleotide transfer RNA is filed under the name Marmota monax (woodchuck). Its description in RNAcentral is "tRNA.Ala". The record is from RNAcentral. Lineage: Eukaryota; Metazoa; Chordata; Mammalia; Rodentia; Sciuridae.